UACAUUUCAGUUUCUAGUUUUAGUCGCAGACGAGAGCUCUCAUAUUUAAACUUAAUUUAUUUUACAACAAAAAAUACAAUUUUGUCAGGGUCUCGACCAGCAGAUUAAUAUGGAUCUACUAAUUUAGAUAACCCAGAUCAGCUCUCAACUGAUGGGAUGUGAGAUCAGAUAUUCACCAGCUCCCCCUUGAGGAGUAUCUGGAGAGUGAAGUUUAUCAGUUUGACCAGAUGACUUCUGUUGGAAUGGAUCUACAAUGAUGACUUUGUAGCGCUCAACUCCAGUCCUGGGACCCACAGUGCUGCACAUUUUGUUUGUCUCUCUAAUCCGAUAGACUCAGAUCAGUUCAUGUAGCUCUCUGAAAACGCGCUGACGAUUUGAAUCAUUAAACAUAUUAAACAAGGGAGACAAACCAUGCAAAAUGUGCAGUGCUGGACCAGAAUCAAGAAAUACAGGUUUGCAAGUGGUGUACAGGUUUUCACUGAUUUACAAAAUGAUUCACUGUAGCAGCUGACAUCCGCUGGUCAAAAUGAUGUAAAUGCAAUAAAAAUAAAAUCCAAAAUGACACCUUUUACAAAAUGAUUGGGAAUGUUUUCA
This is a long non-coding RNA of Onychostoma macrolepis, 594 nucleotides long. RefSeq lists it as uncharacterized. NCBI's taxonomy places the organism in Eukaryota, Metazoa, Chordata, Actinopteri, Cypriniformes, Cyprinidae. The transcript is spliced from 3 exons. The record is from RefSeq and is a predicted model, not a curated record.